GGGUGACUAGUCUAGUGGUCAGGACGUUUCGUUGUGGUUUCCAAACAAGAUCCUCCAACCUUUCCGAAGAAACCCCGGUUCGAUUCCGGGGUCGCCCA
Molecule: non-coding RNA, 98 nt
Organism: Chaetomidium leptoderma
Lineage: Eukaryota; Fungi; Ascomycota; Sordariomycetes; Sordariales; Chaetomiaceae
Source: the annotation of a GenBank genome assembly